CAAAAGAAGUAGCUCAGUAAUUAGAGACAAGGGUUUAUACACCUAACUUAAUAGGGAGAAUGCAGGGAGGAGAAAAGGGAAGAUCAAACGGUUUCUUCAGGAAAGAGAAAUGGGUUUUUAGGGGAACAAACAGGAGCCACUGGAAUGCACUACUAUGAAUGGUCCUGCACAUGAUCCUGUACAGCACAAGACAAAACAAAUUCCAUUUUAGAGGAUACUCUUGGUUCCUUGCAAAUGGCAGGAAAUAAUAAAUACUGAAAUGCUUUUUCAAGGCCGAAUGAGGAACUGAAGAUAACCCUGAGAUCCUGCCUCCUAAACCAGAGGGCAUGGAUGGUGGCACUGAAGGCAUUGUCCUGCUUUCUAAUCCAACUGAUCCAGUGAACACUCUGAUGGGCAGGGGUUGUUUCAUUCUGACGAGGCUCAGCAGCUGGUUACUCGUGACGAU
This is a long non-coding RNA of Diceros bicornis minor, 445 nucleotides long. RefSeq lists it as uncharacterized. The transcript is spliced from 3 exons. The record is from RefSeq and is a predicted model, not a curated record. NCBI's taxonomy places the organism in Eukaryota, Metazoa, Chordata, Mammalia, Perissodactyla, Rhinocerotidae.